Equus asinus (donkey) is the source of this 2654-nucleotide long non-coding RNA. Lineage: Eukaryota; Metazoa; Chordata; Mammalia; Perissodactyla; Equidae. The record is from Ensembl.
CUUGCUCACUUAUAAAAAGCUUAUUUCUCUUGGAAUUAAGCUCAUCAAGGCUUGAUUGGAUCCAUCCAUCUUCCCGUGACCUGUAGAAAAGUAUAAUUUUUAUUUUAUCUGGGGUUUUUUGUUGUUAAUAAAGGAGUGACAGUCUUUAGCAUCCUUCUACAUCCUGACCAGAAGCAGAAGUCUCAAAGGAAGAGGAUUGUUAUGUAAACACAAUGCUCUGGACUGGCGCAUCACUGUGUGACCCCGGUGUCUGAGAGGAUACUGGAACUGGCCAUGGAUCUGGUCCAAAGUGACAUCACUCAUGGAAUUCAAUCGAGUCAGCAAAAUUAAGGUUCUGAUUUGUGCUGGAGCGAGUGUGAAUGACUGACACAAGCUGUCAGUUAAAAUUUGACUGUGGCAUGAUUCGUUGCAGAACAUGAGAUUAUUAGAGAUAUUCUGAAUAAAGAAAAGUCUUCCAAGUCACUUUUAGGUUUCCCUUGGAAUCUGCCGCAAUAGAUCAGAAAAGAAAAUGUUAAUAUAUGGCUCUGAAGCCCACUGCCAGUGUUUCUUCUUCGUUGAUGUGUUGCCUUGAUUUGAGACCUUUGAAGAUAAGGACAAUGUGAGAAGAGCUAUUGCAAAUCCAGCUCAGAUUCUGUUAUGUUACUCAAGAGCAUCCUGAGAAUGCCAAACCUAUGUGUGGUAAUGCUGGCCUUGCACAGGCUUACUGUGUCUCCCUGGGGAAGCUUCUUGACAACUUUGAGACUUGAAAAUACUUGGGCUGCAAAGGGGAAUGGUGAGACAAGUAGACCUGGACUUGUGGAGACACUCUCUUAAUGAAGCCUUUGACCUUCACUCACCCAUAAAGCCCCAGGGUCCUUUGUCUGUCCUGUGCUGGCAGAGGCCCCAAGACAAAGCAGUGUGCCUCACCAGGAGGCUGGAGUAGCAGAGAGGCAAGCCCAGAGGAGAGGACUGAAGGGAGCUGCAAAGACAGAAAAUUAGUCCUUAUGAAGCAAUUCUCCACCCUGCCUCUUCUAUGUUGUAUCCCAACCCAAGCCAUGAGGCAAUUGUGCAGAAAUGGGAGGGUUUGUUGUUGGCUGGAGGUCACCAAAAAUAGAAGAUGUAAGAAACCUAAUAUGCAAGGAGUGAUGAUAAAGUCCAAAACGUUUAAAAACAGGGCCAUUAUCAUAGUGAGUGUGAAGGCAGAACACACCCACCUAGCCCUUUGGUCCCUUUGUCUAGAACAGCUGCAGCAGGAGCAAUAAAAACAAGCAGCUCUGACUUUGGGAGAGUUUCCACCCAAUCCAUUGUUUCACCUAAAGAUCCUCAACCUUCCCAACCCAGAGCUGCACCAUGACAUACUCAUCCUUCCUCCCAGCCUUAAGGAGGAGAGCUGCAGCCCAGGACAUGGCCCGACAGCUUCGCCUGGGGAAGACUUGCUCAAAGCCCUCUGAAAUCUGGGCUGCUUUCUUUCCCUAAGCAGUUUGCCUGCCAGGCUCCUAUGGUCCCAACACCACAGCAUCUGCUGACCCUAUGCUCACCUCAGGCAGCAUGUUGCCUCUACUCUGGACCAAUUGGCCCUGAGCAGAACUCCAAAGUUUGAUUUCAGUCCUCGUCCAGCUACUUCCCCUUUUUAGGGCCUCAGUUUCCUCAGUGAAGAGGUUGGCAUAUGUUGGUUGUGAAGUUCUUUGCACAUCAUGUGUCUCAUGACAUUUGGAAAGUACCUGGCUUGGCAUCUGGAGCCAACUAUUGCCUGGCUGCUCCAACAGGCUUGAUUUCCACCCAGACUUUCUGACCAGCCCCUCCUUUCCCUUCAAAAUUUAUUCACCCUGUGUCCCAUUGCUUCAGGGUCUUAUUCAAGCCAUUCCGCUUACCUGGUAUCCAUGCUUUUUCCAUCCUAUGGUGCCUAUCAGUGGGUUGUCCAGACAAGAAGCAAAUCAGAACUAUGCACCUACGUUAUGACCACAGUGCUUCUCUGACGGAAUAGCAGUAACUUAAAAAUGCUUCGAAAAAUCUAGAUAGAUUUACUUGAGUAUUUGUCUUGGACCUUCAGAUUACUGAAUCCCAAAUCUCAAUUAUGGUUUCUCAAACAAAGAAUUUCCAGCUAUGGAGCUGGCCCUGUGGCCGAAUGGUUAAGUUCGCGUGCUCUGCUUUGGCGGCCCAGGGUUUCACUGGUUUGGAUCCUGGGUGCGGACAUGGCACCACUCAUCAGGCCAUGUUGAGGCAGCGUCCCACAUGCCACAACUAGAGGGACAUACAACUAAAAUAUACACCUAUGUGCUGCAGGGCUUUGGGGAGAAGAAGGGAAAAAAGAAAAAAAAGAAGACUGGCAACAGUUGUUAGUUCAGGUGCCAAUCUUUUAAAAAAAAAAAAAAGAAUUUCGAGCUAAAAAUGCCAGCCACACAAAUAUGUUCAAGACACAGAAACGAAGCUGGAGUGGAUUUGCCACUAGUGACAUGGCAGUGUUCUGCACCACUAGGUGCACUUCUAGCCUGGGAACUAGCAAAGCAUACCACAACUGGAACAUCGUCCCUAGUCAUGCCGCUUCCAAGAAAUAUCAGGUUUAAGAAAUAAGGAGCAAAUGUCAGCUGAGAAGGGGAUGAGGGUGAUGAAUGGGGGAAGGAAAGCAUCUGAUGCUCUAUACCUCUGUAUUUCCAUGCAAGAAAGAACCUGCUACU